AGGCGAUCUCCCGGAGCUUUGGAUGGAUCAAAGCGGCUAAGGAGGGAGGCGAUCUCCCGGAGCUUUGGAUGGAUCAAAGCGGCUAAGGAUGGAGGCGAUCUCCCGGAGCUCUGGAUGGAUCAAAGCGGCUAACCAGAAACUCAAGCAGGACCUCCAUCCAGGCGUCACCAUCCAGGGGUGACCAUCCAUCCAGGGGUCAGCAUCCAUCCAAGGGGCCGCAUCCAUCCAG
Molecule: long non-coding RNA, 229 nt
Organism: Cyprinodon tularosa
Lineage: Eukaryota; Metazoa; Chordata; Actinopteri; Cyprinodontiformes; Cyprinodontidae
Exons: 2
Source: RefSeq, a predicted model, not a curated record